Arachis ipaensis is the source of this 809-nucleotide non-coding RNA. The record is from RefSeq and is a predicted model, not a curated record. Lineage: Eukaryota; Viridiplantae; Streptophyta; Magnoliopsida; Fabales; Fabaceae.
UUAGAUUGUGCUGUUUGUGAUUAUUUCAUUCUAUAUUAUUGUUAGUUAACUGGUUUUAAUUUUGUUCCUGGGGUUUGAGUUUCUUCUCCAAACUCCCCAGUUGCCUUCACUGCCUCUCUCUUGGUCUAGAGAUUCCGUCUCCACAGGUUUUUUGUUACUGUUUUAUUUUAAUAUACAAGAUUGAAGUGAAUGUACUAUAAUUGCUUGAGGUGUGUGAUAUAUUUGAUUAAUGUGAAUGAAGAAUACUAGGUUUAAUUGAAUUAAAUUGAAUCAUGGAUAAGAGCAUGUUAGCUGGUUUGGAAUCACUUCCAGAAGCUGAUCAGCAAAGAAUGGUCUCCAUGAUGUAACAGGUUCAAAUCCAUGACAGUGAAAGACUUUCCAGGAAUUAAGAUUGCAGAGGAGUCGGAAUGGAAAAAUAGCAUUCAGGGCUCAACAGGGGUGGUUAACUUGGCUGGAAUGCCCAUAAGUACCAGAUGGUCUUCGGAGCUAAAAUGAUACCUCUAUUCAAGAUGUUUGCUGGUGGACCUAUAGGCUCUGGAAAACAAUGGUUUUCCUGGAUUCAUUUGGAUGACAUUGUUAAUUUAAUAUAUGAAGCACUGAUAAAUCUCUCCUAUGAAGGAUAAUGUUGAGGAUGAUAAUGAAGAUUUAGCUGAUUAUUAUUGUGAUUUAUUGGCUAUAAGAUAGAGUAGUGUUGGAAAUGGAUACAUAUAUGGUUGACUACUAAUGACUUUUAUUAGAAGAUACUUAUGUAGGAUAUGUUUCUCGUAGAGUAUUAGUAGUAAAUUCUAAGUGGUAUCAUGGUUAUUUUG